Molecule: ribosomal RNA, 235 nt
Filed under: uncultured bacterium
Lineage: Bacteria
Description: partial 16S ribosomal RNA
Rfam family: Bacterial small subunit ribosomal RNA
Source: RNAcentral
CGAACGGGUGAGUAACGCGUAUCCAACCUGCCGUCUACUCUUGGACAGCCUUCUGAAAGGAAGAUUAAUACAAGAUGGCAUCAUGAGUCCGCAUGUUCACAUGAUUAAAGGUAUUCCGGUAGACGAUGGGGAUGCGUUCCAUUAGAUAGUAGGCGGGGUAACGGCCCACCUAGUCUUCGAUGGAUAGGGGUUCUGAGAGGAAGGUCCCCCACAUUGGAACUGAGACACGGUCCAA